GACGAACGCUGGCGGCGUGCCUAAUACAUGCAAGUAGGACGCACAGUUUAUACCGUAGCUUGCUACACCAUGGACUGUGAGUUGCGAACGGGUGAGUAACGCGUAGGUAACCUGCCUAUUAGAGGGGGAUAACUAUUGGAAACGAUAGCUAAUACCGCAUAACAGUAUGUAACACAUGUUAGAUGCUUGAAAGAUGCAAUUGCAUCGCUAGUAGAUGGAUCUGCGUUGUAUUAGCUAGUAGGUAGGGUAAAGGCCUACCUAGGCAACGAUACAUAGCCGACCUGAGAGGGUGAUCGGCCACACUGGGACUGAGACACGGCCCAGACUCCUACGGGAGGCAGCAGUAGGGAAUCUUCGGCAAUGGGGGGAACCCUGACCGAGCAACGCCGCGUGAGUGAAGAAGGUUUUCGGAUCGUAAAGCUCUGUUGUUAAGGAAGAACGAGUGUGAGAAUGGAAAGUUCAUGCUGUGACGGUACUUAACCAGAAAGGGACGGCUAACUACGUGCCAGCAGCCGCGGUAAUACGUAGGUCCCGAGCGUUGUCCGGAUUUAUUGGGCGUAAAGCGAGCGCAGGCGGUUAGAAAAGUCUGAAGUGAAAGGCAGUGGCUCAACCAUUGUAGGCUUUGGAAACUGUUUAACUUGAGUGCAGAAGGGGAGAGUGGAAUUCCAUGUGUAGCGGUGAAAUGCGUAGAUAUAUGGAGGAACACCGGUGGCGAAAGCGGCUCUCUGGUCUGUAACUGACGCUGAGGCUCGAAAGCGUGGGGAGCGAACAGG
Molecule: ribosomal RNA, 773 nt
Filed under: Streptococcus anginosus
Lineage: Bacteria; Bacillati; Bacillota; Bacilli; Lactobacillales; Streptococcaceae
Description: bacterial SSU rRNA
Rfam family: Bacterial small subunit ribosomal RNA
Source: RNAcentral